RNAcentral lists this ribosomal RNA (550 nucleotides) under uncultured bacterium. Its description in RNAcentral is "bacterial SSU rRNA". It matches the Rfam family "Bacterial small subunit ribosomal RNA", at positions 355 to 896 of the family's 1533-position model. The record is from RNAcentral.
UAGGGAAUCUUCGGCAAUGGACGGAAGUCUGACCGAGCAACGCCGCGUGAGUGAAGAAGGUUUUCGGAUCGUAAAGCUCUGUUGUAAGAGAAGAACGAGUGUGAGAGUGGAAAGUUCACACUGUGACGGUAUCUUACCAGAAAGGGACGGCUAACUACGUGCCAGCAGCCGCGGUAAUACGUAGGUCCCGAGCGUUAUCCGGAUUUAUUGGGCGUAAAGCGAGCGCAGGCGGUUAGAUAAGUCUGAAGUUAAAGGCUGUGGCUUAACCAUAGUACGCUUUGGAAACUGUUUAACUUGAGUGCAAGAGGGGAGAGUGGAAUUCCAUGUGUAGCGGUGAAAUGCGUAGAUAUAUGGAGGAACACCGGUGGCGAAAGCGGCUCUCUGGCUUGUAACUGACGCUGAGGCUCGAAAGCGUGGGGAGCAAACAGGAUUAGAUACCCUGGUAGUCCACGCCGUAAACGAUGAGUGCUAGGUGUUAGACCCUUUCCGGGGUUUAGUGCCGCAGCUAACGCAUUAAGCACCCCGCCUGGGGAGUACGACCGCAAGGUUG